CCGGUGUUCGGGCUGGCCUUCACCGCCGACGGCGUGCGCCUCGCCGCCGGGAGCCAGGACCGGUCCACGCGGGUGUGGGAGGUACCCGCACCGGGC
RNAcentral lists this transfer RNA (96 nucleotides) under Streptomyces cirratus. Its description in RNAcentral is "tRNA-Ala". Lineage: Bacteria; Bacillati; Actinomycetota; Actinomycetes; Kitasatosporales; Streptomycetaceae. The record is from RNAcentral.